Molecule: long non-coding RNA, 547 nt
Organism: Ornithorhynchus anatinus (platypus)
Lineage: Eukaryota; Metazoa; Chordata; Mammalia; Monotremata; Ornithorhynchidae
Exons: 3
Source: RefSeq, a predicted model, not a curated record
GAUCUCUUCCUCUGGUACAUGUAGAAGGCACAGGUGGUCUUCCUUAUUGCCUAGCUCAAUAACUUUGAGUUCUAACCCCAGCUGCAAGCAGUUUUGCAUAUCUUUUGGAGUUGUGUUAUUGUUAAAGUUUUGGAAAGGAAUCUUUGUUGAUGUCCGGGCUUGGUGCUGGAGCCAUUAAGAUGUGAGGAGGAAAGAGCCACCUGUGAAUUGCUGUUACUGGGACAGUGGGCUGAAAGCUGGAGCUGUCCUGGGAAAACCAUGAUGUACAGUCAGCCUCAUUCAGAGUGACCGGUGCCUUUUUACCUCCAACGUGCUUGGACGAAUGCAACUCCAGAGCAUCUGCUGGUGAUCAUUAGGGGAGAUGUUACCCUUGUGAAUGAUAAAGCUUGAUAUCAAAAACCACACAGUAGGACUUCAAGACCCCAGAGAAAGGCUUUAAUGCCUUGUGCUGAGACCGUAAUUUAAAAGACGUCCGGAGACUUUGCUACCCACAGACAGAAAUUGUAUAUUGUAUUCUCUCCCUCAUAAAACAUAUACUACAAUAGGA